CGAGGCCUGGUUGCCUCACACUUGUAGCUUAAUUCACCUCUCCAAUGAAUGAAGCGAGUAGCGUGCUACCUUUUUCUCAAAAAAUAAUCUCAAGAAAUAUGCCAGCUACCGACAGUCCCUGGCGCAAGUGGCAAAAGGCUCGGUGGUUAAUACUCGAGGUCUCAAGUUUGAAUCCUAGUUGAUUCACAUUUCCAGCUAAGUUUAUUUCUAAAUAAAUAAAAUAAAUGAAGCACGUAGCAUGCUAUCUAUCUCUCAAAAUAAAAAAAAAAAAAAAACAAUCUCAAGAAAUAUAUAUUGUAUACUAAAUCAAUA
This 312-nucleotide long non-coding RNA is filed under the name Ananas comosus (pineapple). RNAcentral describes it as "long non-coding RNA (ACOM_LNC013586)". The record is from RNAcentral. Lineage: Eukaryota; Viridiplantae; Streptophyta; Magnoliopsida; Poales; Bromeliaceae.